This 462-nucleotide long non-coding RNA is filed under the name Homo sapiens (human). RNAcentral describes it as "HSALNT0039347". Lineage: Eukaryota; Metazoa; Chordata; Mammalia; Primates; Hominidae. The record is from RNAcentral.
AUGCCUGGGGGCUGUGUGAUUCCAGAAGUCAGGCUCACUUGCUUUAGAAACCAAUUCUGUCAGAGAUGGUGUGAACCCAAGAAGUAGGAAGGCGGUUUUGUCUUUUUCUGGUAGCUGACAGACUCAUCCCUUCCUGCUCCUCCUCCUCCUUUGUCUUUCUCUCUUCUACUGUAUGAAAGGCACCAGGGAGGCACUCAGGUGGUUUUCCUGGGGGACCCAGUGGUGGAUCAGUCCCAGAUCCAUCUUUGGGGCUCAGAAGGCCAGGAGGAGAACCAGGUAGACCAGACUGGGCUGCAGCCAGCUCGGAAAAUUUGCUUCACCCUCCUUCCACCAUGACAUGGGCAUAUGAUUGUGCCUUCUCAGCCAGAGUUUCAAGGGACCCUGCUGGAGAUCACAGAGUCAAGGGCAGCUGUGACACCUGGCCUGACGCCUUUGCAGCUGCCAUCUCUGCGUCUUCUCAAA